CCGCUUGUCAGAUGUUUUUACUGUGGCUUGGUUAUCUACCAAGCCACAGUAAAAACAUCUGACAAGCGG
This is a non-coding RNA of Paramuricea clavata, 69 nucleotides long. Lineage: Eukaryota; Metazoa; Cnidaria; Anthozoa; Malacalcyonacea; Plexauridae. The record is from the annotation of a GenBank genome assembly.